AAGCCCCAUUCUUCCUUGACUCUGAAUACAAAACCCCUUUCGCAAGGUGAAGCUCCAUUGAUUCUGUAUACACAGAGAGAAUCUUCUCUGCACACAUUUGUUGAGCGGUUUUACAGCCUUAUACGUAUAUAAUCGUAUACACAAUUGGUUGAUGAUCUGACGAGGAAGUUCAGAUAUGUCAAUUCGGUUCAAAUUCAGGAGCUCCCUGAAUUAUGAGACGCUGGAGAUCGGGAGCCGCGGCUCGAUCUCCGUGGCGGAGCUGAGGGCGAAAAUCAUGCGCGGGAAGGUUUCUCAGCAGCAGCAAGGGUUUGAUCUCGUUUUCUCCGACGCGGAUUCUGGUUUAGGGUACAACUUCGAUUCUCAAAUUCCCAGUGGAUCCAGCGUGAUUGUUAAGAGAGUUCCCGGUGGAACACUUCCGGCCUCUGUGGCGGUGCCUAUUGUAGCUAUGAAGCAUGCCGGGGUAAAAGAGCCGCACAAUCUGAACCUAGCUAAGACUGGACCAAAGAACGACUAUGAUGACCUAGGUGCUGAUCUAUACCCCAAGCCUGAUUCAAACUUACCUGGAUUUAAUCAAGAACUUGAUCAAAAUAAAUUCAUGGGUAACAAGAAGGCUGCUGUCAUACGAAGUGGUUUUGAUCAACAUGGAAAUGAUAGGAAUGUUUUCCCAAUACCUGAUGAGCUGAUGAAGUCUAACAAGCUGCACAAAUCCAAUGUCCGGAACGUGCAAGGUUCUAAUUUGCCUUUAGAACUGAAGUGCCCAAUAUGCAAAAAUGUCUUCACGGAUGCAGUGAUGAUACCUUGUUGUCAGCAUAGCUUUUGCGAGAAGUGUAUAUAUCAAGUGCUUCUCACAAAGGGGAGGUGCCCCAAAUGUUACUCAAUAAAAUGCACUACAGCCGAUCUUCUCCCAAACUUGUCAUUGCGUCAAGCAACUGAACAUUUGCUUAAAUCUGAGAUGUUUGAUACUGGUUUUGAUAAUGUCAUGCCGAAAUAUGUGCCAGAUGAAGAAUCCGGAAUCCAAAUGAAUGAUGAUUCACGUGCUAUCACUUUAACCCAAUUCCUAAGAGAAAUGGGAGUUCCUCAGUCUUCUAUGGCAACUGGAAAAGGUCCAGUUCCUCAGUCUUCUACUGCAACUGGAAAAGGAUCGAAUCAGAUUCUCACAGAAUCAUUGCGCGAGCAACAUCAGAGAAAUGUGCCAUAUGGAAAUGCUGGUUGUAGAGAUUUUGAAGAUUUUGCACAAUCCGCAGAUUUUCAGGGUGAAAAUCAACCUAAAAGCCAUGCUGAAGCUGAUUCUGAUGCCAAGAGGAAAGGGGGGUUCUGUUUAGACUUGGGAGCUGGUGGAAGAAGAUUUUCAGGUCAUGGUAGAUACAGAAAGGACGUCCGUAAUUGCUUUUCAUGUGGUUCUUUUGACCAUCUCAUGAAAGACUGCCCAAUUUCCCAUCCAAAUCCCAUGUGUCAGCCAGGAUCCGGAGUGUUUCAUGGAGGUUUCCCAGGCUAUGCACCACCAUACUGGAAUGGCUCUUCAUUUCCGCCUUAUACACCCUAUGCAAAUAUGUAUAAUAACCCUUCUAUGAUGCCGUUCAAUCCCACCAUGGUCCCUGUUUCACCCUUUGUUGCUCCUCCUCCCUACAUUCCAUUACCUGGCCCUGGUGGAAACAUGAGACCUGGGAAUAUCGAACCUCCUCGUCUUGACCACUUUGGGAUUCAACAUUGCGGAAGUAAGAGGAAGAAGCUCUUAAAUGAAAAUCUAGAAAGAAACCAACUUCUCAACGACGAUGGUUCUUCAGAAUGCUAUCGACAUUACAGUCCGCAGAAAGCAUGUGAUCGUGAACCACAGAAUGACAGGGAACAAAGUUCAAGUCACUCUGAUGCUAGCUUGGUCCCAAGACCUGGGAGAAAAGAUCGGCAUGAAAAGUACAUGCACUCCGGUGGCUAUUCUGAUGAAAGACAUGUGAAGAGCCACCACGCCUUUUCUGGGAGGGAGAAGAGGCUCUCUCAUGCGGAGAGGUCAAACUCAGCCAAAGAAGACAAGUCCAGAAGCACUGAACGGCAUUGUGAGGGGAGACAUAUGUGUCAUCACAGAGAUUCAAAGGACAGUGACAGGAAGAGAGACAAGAGACACUAUGAUAAGAUUGAGUCUGACGCCCGAGAUUCUCACAGAAAGCAUCACCACAACCAAGCAGACUAUAAUUUUGAGCCUCGGACACCUGCUGAUAGGAGGGCAAGGGCUGGAUACUGCAAGAGGGAGGCUGGCCAAGAUUCAUCCAGGCAUCAGACAAAGCACUUACAAGAGAGACAUCACUGCGACAGGUUGCAGAUGGUGUAUGGCUCCAACGAGGACCGCAGAGAUGAAUACCGCCCCCAAAAACAUCGAGCAUAUUGAAAGAAGAGCAUAAUGGGGCACUAUGAAGAUGUGCCAAUGUACUGGUGAUUCCAUCUCUGUUAGUAUCAACUUGUAUGUUGUAUUGGUCAUGGUGAGAUUUCAUAUGCUAAUGGAAGCUUUCAUUUCUCAUCCGAUCCAUCUCUGAACAGAGAUCGGAUGCGCCCCGUUGGUGAUUAAGGUAUUGAGCAAGGUAUAUCUAUCUCUGACUCUGUCUCCACACACACACACACACACAGAGAUCAAGCUAUACAGGGUUUGGUCACCAACUGAUGAUUUUUUCCAAUCCAUUAUUCGGAAUUUUAACAACAUCAAGAAAUUAUCGUUCGCCUCCA
Salvia hispanica is the source of this 2712-nucleotide RNA transcript. RefSeq lists it as uncharacterized. The record is from RefSeq and is a predicted model, not a curated record. NCBI's taxonomy places the organism in Eukaryota, Viridiplantae, Streptophyta, Magnoliopsida, Lamiales, Lamiaceae.